RNAcentral lists this ribosomal RNA (492 nucleotides) under uncultured bacterium. RNAcentral describes it as "partial 16S ribosomal RNA". It matches the Rfam family "Bacterial small subunit ribosomal RNA", at positions 29 to 507 of the family's 1533-position model. The record is from RNAcentral.
AGUGAACGCUGGCGGUAGGCCUAACACAUGCAAGUCGAACGGCAGCACAGUAAGAGCUUGCUCUUACGGGUGGCGAGUGGCGGACGGGUGAGGAAUACAUCGGAAUCUACUUUUUCGUGGGGGAUAACGUAGGGAAACUUACGCUAAUACCGCAUACGACCUACGGGUGAAAGCAGGGGAUCUUCGGACCUUGCGCGAUUGAAUGAGCCGAUGUCGGAUUAGCUAGUUGGCGGGGUAAAGGCCCACCAAGGCGACGAUCCGUAGCUGGUCUGAGAGGAUGAUCAGCCACACUGGAACUGAGACACGGUCCAGACUCCUACGGGAGGCAGCAGUGGGGAAUAUUGGACAAUGGGCGCAAGCCUGAUCCAGCCAUACCGCGUGGGUGAAGAAGGGCUUCGGGUUGUAAAGCCCUUUUGUUGGGAAAGAAAAGCAGCAGGUUAAUACCCCGCUGUUCUGACGGUACCCAAAGAAUAAGCACCGGCUAACUUCGUG